UCAAUGUUCCAAUCUAUAAUAGUUCGACCAGUAUAUGUAGAGGUAUGACUUGUAAGGUCUUCUUCUAAUUGGAUAUCAACUGGGGUUGGUCUUUUAUAAUAUGGUCGGGCAUUUAUUGGUUGCCAAUUUUUAUUAUAGUUGACUCGAUUUAUCGUAUCCGGGGUAAUAUGAUGUUCAGAAAGUGCUUUUUGUAUAUUUGAUAUUGUG
Molecule: long non-coding RNA, 207 nt
Filed under: Amborella trichopoda
Lineage: Eukaryota; Viridiplantae; Streptophyta; Magnoliopsida; Amborellales; Amborellaceae
Description: long non-coding RNA (ATRI_LNC002305)
Source: RNAcentral